GACGAACGCUGGCGGCGUGCUUAACACAUGCAAGUCGAACGGAAAGGCCCUGCUUUUGCGGGGUGCUCGAGUGGCGAACGGGUGAGUAACACGUGAGUAACCUGCCCUUGACUUUGGGAUAACUUCAGGAAACUGGGGCUAAUACCGGAUAGGAGCUCCUGCUGCAUGGUGGGGGUUGGAAAGUUUCGGCGGUUGGGGAUGGACUCGCGGCUUAUCAGCUUGUUGGUGGGGUAGUGGCUUACCAAGGCUUUGACGGGUAGCCGGCCUGAGAGGGUGACCGGCCACUUUGGGACUGAGAUACGGCCCAGACUCCUACGGGAGGCAGCAGUGGGGAAUAUUGCACAAUGGGCGGAAGCCUGAUGCAGCAACGCCGCGUGCGGGAUGACGGCCUUCGGGUUGUAAACCGCUUUCGCCUGUGACGAAGCGUGAGUGACGGUAAUGGGUAAAGAAGCACCGGCUAACUACGUG
Molecule: ribosomal RNA, 468 nt
Filed under: uncultured bacterium
Lineage: Bacteria
Description: partial 16S ribosomal RNA
Rfam family: Bacterial small subunit ribosomal RNA
Source: RNAcentral